AGGAUCAUUGUCGAAACCUGCCCUAACGGAACGAUCGCGAACCGGUUAUACUCAACAGUCGGUCGGGGAGCCGGUAACGGAACCCCGACCGCGGCCGCCGAGGCGAUGUUGGGGCUCGCCCCGAUGUCCAUCGCCCUCGGUUGCCAAGAACAAAAAAUUCGGCGCGAAUUGCGCUAAGGAAUCGUUACCAAUGAUUCGCGUCGCCCCGUGCCAUUCUCGGUUUCGGUGGGCGACGUCGAUGUCAAAUAUUAUAUUUCUAACGACUCUCGGCAACGGAUAUCUCGGCUCUCGCAUCGAUGAAGAACGUAGCGAAAUGCGAUACUUGGUGUGAAUUGCAGAAUCCCGUGAACCAUCGAGUCUUUGAACGCAAGUUGCGCCCGAAGCCUCUGGGUCGAGGGCACGCCUGCCUGGGUGUCACACAACGUCGCCGACGUGCAUAGCAUCGUCAGCGGACGAUGGCCUCCCGCGAACCCUUUGCGGCGCGGUUGUCCCAAAGUCACGAGCCUCGGCUAAGCGCAGCCACGACAUUCGGUGGAUUGUUGCCGGAACAUCGUCGUGAGCGCGCUUCAUCUAUCGGCCCGAAGGACCCCCGGGAGACGUACGUCUCUUGCAAUACCAUGCGACCCCAGGUCAGGCGGGAACACCCGCUGAGUUUAAG
This 658-nucleotide ribosomal RNA is filed under the name Stackhousia monogyna. RNAcentral's name for it is "eukaryotic LSU rRNA". The stretch from base 262 to 417 matches the Rfam family "5.8S ribosomal RNA". Lineage: Eukaryota; Viridiplantae; Streptophyta; Magnoliopsida; Celastrales; Celastraceae. The record is from RNAcentral.